Long non-coding RNA from Pleuronectes platessa (European plaice), 861 nucleotides. RefSeq lists it as uncharacterized. NCBI's taxonomy places the organism in Eukaryota, Metazoa, Chordata, Actinopteri, Pleuronectiformes, Pleuronectidae. The record is from RefSeq and is a predicted model, not a curated record. The transcript has 2 exons.
UCUGUCCUUUUCUCUUCUUUCUGUUUCUACACUAUUGUUUCCAUCGUUUCCAUCAUCAGCCGAUCAGGAGUUGAACUCAUUUCCUCUGAGGACUGGAGGGAGCACGUCUCAUGUGGAUGUGAGCUGCUACUCACGUGAUGAACACCUUGAAUGUGACGUUAACACAAAGUGAACUGCUGACACAAGAUGAGCUGUGUUGCCUCUGGUGUCUGUUCAAAGUUUGCAUCAGGUCCAUUGAUUUCACUUUAGUGUUUUGUGGUAUUUCUCACAUCACGUGUUAAACACGUGAAGAAGAAGGAGUUAGGUGUGUUUUAAUCCACCAUGUUCACACGGCGGCCAUUUUCCUCUGACGUCUCUCUCAGGGUGUGAAGCUCGAAUGUUGUUACCAACAGAAUAAUGUUGUACUGCUGUGAUCCAGGUUUAUAAGUUACACAAAAAAGAUAAUAUAUUAUUACUUAUUCUUCUUUAGGAGAUUCAUUAUUAUAAUAGUAUUGGUAAUUUUAGUAACAUAAUAAGUUUGUUUGCUGCACCUUUAAGAGACUGAUUUUAAUUAUACUUUUUCUAUUUUCAAAUUUACAUAUGAACAAUAUUCAAAUUUUAAGUCUAGUUCAUUUCAUUUGUUGUUCACUCACAACUUCCUCUUUUCUAACUUUGUUAUGUACAGUUUUGCAACAGGGAAGAUUUUCUUUCAGGGAUCAUUUAAAGUUUUUUUUAUUCUGUUCAUUUAUUUUUACAUUAAAUAUGAAGCUCAUUUGUUCCUAUUUGCUAUUGUUUUGAAACUCUUCCUAUAUUUUAAUCUCACUUCCAGUAUUUGUUCUGUCUUUCGUUCGUCCUUUUCAUAAUAAAGCCAUUCAGACGCCA